Molecule: non-coding RNA, 1198 nt
Organism: Oryza sativa Japonica Group (Japanese rice)
Lineage: Eukaryota; Viridiplantae; Streptophyta; Magnoliopsida; Poales; Poaceae
Source: RefSeq, a predicted model, not a curated record
AUUGAACCCUGUAUUAGACUACAUUAAUUAGCAUCCUGGGUUAUCUAAAGAAUGACUUCGAUUUCUGACACCCUUUCUUUUAAGUGGUAAUAACAUUGCUGAAGAGACCCAGGUACAUCUGCUUAAGUUGGGUUCAUUGAUCUGGGUACAUCUGCCUAAGUUGGACUGAGCAGUGCCUUAUAAAAGGAAACUUACCAUUGCCAUCAUUAUGGUGAAUGUCAUCUGAUGCAUAGUAUGCUAUGCCAUCUAUUCCAUUUCCCGUAGUUUACACACACCAUUGGCAUGGGGAUCUAACUCUCCAUAUGUGCCAAGACAAGUUUAAAAACAACAGAGCAAUCAUUAUUCAUGCAUUUCUGAAACAACAUGGCAGUACAGGUCGUGCCGGUUGACAAUCAUUGGAUAGAUGAUGUUUGGCAUGACCUAUCAAUGGGGUUCUUAACGGAAUAUUUUGGGAUUUGACGCUGCUUGCUGGAAGGGGUGACACUGUCACUCACCAAAGGAACUCAUGGCGAAGGUCAGAAUUAGGCAUCUACAUGGCAAAGCCAGCAUACAUGGCAAUUUGAUUUUAAGGUAUUGAUCAGAUUAGAUUUGAUGCAACCUGUUUGGAAGUCAGGCCCCUUCGACUUUGAGGUGCAAAUUAAUCUUUUGCUUGUCUCCUAGCUUAGAAUCGCCUAUGGAUUGUUGUUGUUUAUAACUUAGAGGUUGGCCAAACAAUUAGUUUUGUCCCCUAUGCAUCGAACCUCGAGACAUCUCAUCACUUGUUCAUGAAGAGUAGAUUAGUUAAAGCCAUCCGGGCAGGAAUAAGCCUGUGCUUGACUGAAGUUUCUUCAGCAAGCCCUCCUUCGGCCUGUUCAGUAUUGGAAUGGUGGUGCCACAAGAUUUCAUCAGAAAAGAUGCAACGCAAAGGGCUCAGGACCCUCUUCUUGCUGUGGUCUGCUGGCCACUGCCGGGAAUUUGGAUGGAGCGAAACAAUAGAAACUUCAAGAAAGAGGGAUGGUCAAUUCAGCACAUUGUCGACAAAUUCUUUUUUUACGAGAUCAAUCAGUGAAGCAGCUGCAGAGCAAAAAGGCUGGUACAGUUCUCUCGAAGAGAGAGAGCCGUUUUUUGUUAGUUUGUAUAGCCUCUGGCUUCGGUUCUAUUUUGUUCGCUCCUAUCAAAAUAUGCACAAAAUAGGCAGUCAUGCCCAUGUUUACAAGUA